AUUGAACGCUGGCGGCAUGCCUUACACAUGCAAGUCGAACGGCAGCACGGGGGCAACCCUGGUGGCGAGUGGCGAACGGGUGAGUAAUGCAUCGGAACGUGUCCUCUUGUGGGGGAUAACCAGUCGAAAGAUUGGCUAAUACCGCAUGAGAUCGCAAGAUGAAAGCGGGGGACCGCAAGGCCUCGCGCGAGAGGAGCGGCCGAUGCCGGAUUAGCUAGUUGGUGGGGUAACGGCCUACCAAGGCGACGAUCCGUAGCUGGUCUGAGAGGACGACCAGCCACACUGGGACUGAGACACGGCCCAGACUCCUACGGGAGGCGGCAGUGGGGAAUUUUGGACAAUGGGCGCAAGCCUGAUCCAGCCAUGCCGCGUGUGUGAAGAAGGCCUUCGGGUUGUAAAGCACUUUCGGACGGAACGAAAUCGCGCGGACGAACAUUCCGCGUGGAUGACGGUACCGUAAGAAGAAGCACCGGCUAACUACGUGCCAGCAGCCGCCGUAA
Molecule: ribosomal RNA, 500 nt
Filed under: uncultured bacterium
Lineage: Bacteria
Description: partial 16S ribosomal RNA
Rfam family: Bacterial small subunit ribosomal RNA
Source: RNAcentral